AAUCAACGCUGGCGGCGUGCCUAACACAUGCAAGUCGAACGAGAACGGUUCCUUCGGGGACUCAGUAAAGUGGCGAACGGGUGAGUAACGCGUGGAUAAUCUGCCCUCAAGUGGGGGAUAACUCGGGGAAACCCGGGCUAAUACCGCAUAAGCCCUACGGGGGAAAAGUAUUUAUAUUGCUUGAGGAGGAGUCCGCGUCCGAUUAGCUGGUUGGUGAGGUAAGAGCUCACCAAGGCGACGAUUGGUAGCCGGUCUGAGAGGACGGACGGCCACACUGGAACUGAGACACGGUCCAGACUCCUACGGGAGGCAGCAGUGGGGAAUUUUGGGCAAUGGGGGAAACCCUGACCCAGCAACGCCGCGUGGAGGAAGAAGGUUUUCGGAUCGUAAACUCCUGUCCGGAGGGACGAAGCAAGUGACGGUACCUCUGGAGGAAGCCCCGGCUAACUCCGUG
RNAcentral lists this ribosomal RNA (454 nucleotides) under uncultured bacterium. Its description in RNAcentral is "bacterial SSU rRNA". It matches the Rfam family "Bacterial small subunit ribosomal RNA", at positions 32 to 507 of the family's 1533-position model. The record is from RNAcentral.